AUCCGAGUCUAGGCGCCGACACAGAAGGUGGAGCAGGGAGGCGUCGGCUGUGCCCGCCCCUGCGACGCAGAAACGCCCCCUCGGCCACGGGUUUGGGAAGACUGGGAGACAGCUGCCUCGUGCUCUAGCAGCCCGCCCCCUGGGCGCCUUUCCCUUCUCAGGACCAAACGAGGGUGCCAUGGGAGGCUCUCCAACCUGUGAGCCAAACAUUUGACCCUGGACGACAGCAAAUUUUAGCACAGAUUAUCCUUGUAGAGCUGCAAGACCUCAAGAAAGCCGGCUAACUCGAGAGUAGGACCCAGAUGAAUUUGGGAGAUGGAUGAAUGCUGUCGUCGAUGGGGGCGGGCUUUCGGCAUCUCACCUGUUGCAUGGCUAGUCAAGUGAAGCAGUGGGAGUGGAAAAGGAGCAAAGCAAUCUGUAACUAGUUGUGAUUCCAUGAACUUUUUGAAAUCCUCUUGUAUUGGCUUCCUUCCCUCUUCUGUCUUACUUCUCUACUCCCUACAAGUGUUUUCUGGGAUCACCUCCAAAUAAACUACUUGCAAUCUAAUCCUGUCUCAAGGUCUGCUGCUGUGGGAACCCAAACUAAGACACCUGUAAAAAAUAUCCUUCCAAUUACUGAAAAAUAUGUUCACUUGCACCCAUAAAAGUGUUUACUGAUACCAUAGACCCUUGGCUGUACAAUAUGGUAGCAGUAUCCACAUGAGCAUUUUGAGGACCUGAAACGUGGCUGGUCCCAGUUGAGAUGUUCUGGAAGUAUGAAACACACUAACUUCAAAGACAGUGUCAAGAAAACUGUGUUUAACUUCUCAUGAAUGAUUUUUUUUUACAUAGAUUACAUGUUAAAAUGAUAAUAUUUGGACACAUUAGUUAAAAACAGAAAGUCAGCGCCCCAACAUUUCCAGGUAGAGAACCUAUCAAAGGAGACUGAAGUGAGAAGAAAAAUAAAUAGAGUCACAGAAGUGAAGAAAAUGUUUCAAGAAAGGAAAGAUGGAGCCCAUGCUCCUGGGAGGCUGGGAAAUUGAGGACAGAAGAGCAGCCACUGUAUUUAACAACAUGGGGACCUUUGGUGAAUUGAUCAAAUCAGUAUUUUAAAAAGAGGGAGACAGACCCUCGUUAAAAUAUGUUGAGGAGAGAAUGGAAUGUGAAGAUGUAAAGACAGAGGUUAUACACAACUUCUCUGAGAAAUGUUGCUGUGAGGAGAGAGAGAAAAUACAUAAUUGCAGGAGAGAAAUCCUUGGGAAAGCAGUCCUCCACACCGUGGACUAUUCCAUAGCCAAUUUUAACAACAUAGGUGAUAGGGUUUGGCUCUGUGUCUCCAACCAAAUCUCAUCUCGAAUUGUAAUCGCCACAAUCCCCAUGUGUUGAGGGAGAAACCCGAUGGGAGGUGAUUGGCUCGUGGAGGCAGUUGUUAUCGUGAUAGUGACUAUUUUAUAAGGGGCUCUUCCCCCUUCACUCCUUGCUCCC
Long non-coding RNA from Pongo pygmaeus (Bornean orangutan), 1464 nucleotides. RefSeq lists it as uncharacterized. The record is from RefSeq and is a predicted model, not a curated record. Lineage: Eukaryota; Metazoa; Chordata; Mammalia; Primates; Hominidae. The transcript has 2 exons.